This 485-nucleotide ribosomal RNA is filed under the name uncultured bacterium. Its description in RNAcentral is "partial 16S ribosomal RNA". It matches the Rfam family "Bacterial small subunit ribosomal RNA", at positions 30 to 507 of the family's 1533-position model. The record is from RNAcentral.
AUUGAACGCUGGCGGCAGGCUUAACACAUGCAAGUCGAGCGGGGAAAGGUAGCUUGCUCCCUAACCUAGCGGCGGACGGGUGAGUAAUGCUUAGGAAUCUGCCUAUUAGUGGGGGACAACAUCUCGAAAGGGAUGCUAAUACCGCAUCCGUCCUACGGGAGAAAGCAGGGGACCUUCGGGCCUUGCGCUAAUAGAUGAGCCUAAGUCGGAUUAGCUAGUUGGUGGGGUAAAGGCCUACCAAGGCGACGAUCUGUAGCGGGUCUGAGAGGAUGAUCCGCCACACUGGGACUGGGACACGGCCCAGACUCCUACGGGAGGCAGCAGUGGGGAAUAUUGGACAAUGGGGGGAACCCUGAUCCAGCCAUGCCGCGUGUGUGAAGAAGGCCUUUUGGUUGUAAAGCACUUUAAGCGAGGAGGAGGCUACCGAGAUUAAUACUCUUGGAUAGUGGACGUUACUCGCAGAAUAAGCACCGGCUAACUCUGUG